Molecule: ribosomal RNA, 200 nt
Filed under: uncultured eukaryote
Lineage: Eukaryota
Description: partial 18S ribosomal RNA
Rfam family: Eukaryotic small subunit ribosomal RNA
Source: RNAcentral
GCUCUAAUAGCGUAUAUUAAAGUUGUUGCAGUUAAAAAGCUCGUAGUCGGAUGUCGGGCUCGGGCAGGCUGUCGGCUUCGGUCGGACGGCAGGCUCGGGUCUUUCUGCAUGAGGAUCCGUUGCACUUUAUUGUGGGGCGUGGGGACACAUGCCGUUUACUUUGAAAAAAUUAGAGUGUUCAAGCAGGCCUACGCUUGAAU